This 253-nucleotide ribosomal RNA is filed under the name uncultured bacterium. RNAcentral describes it as "partial 16S ribosomal RNA". It matches the Rfam family "Bacterial small subunit ribosomal RNA", at positions 524 to 776 of the family's 1533-position model. The record is from RNAcentral.
UACAGAGACCCCGAGCGUUAUCCGGAAUUACUGGGCGUAAAGCGCGGGUAGCCGGUCGUGUUAGUCCGAUGUCAAACCAUGGGGCCCAACCCCAUGCCUGCAUCGGAAACGGCACGACUCGAGUCGGUGAGAGGUGAGCAGAACGUACGGUGUAGGGGUGAAAUCCACUGAUAUCGUACGGAAUACCAAAAGCGAAGGCAGCUCACUAGCGCCGUACUGACGGUCAAUCGCGAAAGCGUGGGGAUCAAAAAGG